RNAcentral lists this transfer RNA (73 nucleotides) under Cordylochernes scorpioides. Its description in RNAcentral is "tRNA-Thr". It matches the Rfam family "tRNA". From Rfam's summary of the family: Transfer RNA (tRNA) molecules are approximately 80 nucleotides in length. Their secondary structure includes four short double-helical elements and three loops (D, anti-codon, and T loops). The record is from RNAcentral. Lineage: Eukaryota; Metazoa; Arthropoda; Arachnida; Pseudoscorpiones; Chernetidae.
UCCAGGGUAGCCUAGUGGACAUGGUAUUUGCCCGGUAAGCGGAACACUGUGGGUUCGAUUCCCAUCCCUGGAC